RNAcentral lists this ribosomal RNA (490 nucleotides) under uncultured bacterium. RNAcentral describes it as "partial 16S ribosomal RNA". It matches the Rfam family "Bacterial small subunit ribosomal RNA", at positions 29 to 507 of the family's 1533-position model. The record is from RNAcentral.
AGUGAACGCUGGCGGUAGGCCUAACACAUGCCAGUCGAACGGCAGCACAGGAGAGCUUGCUCUCUAGGUGGCGAGUGGCGGACGGGUGAGGAAUACAUCGGAAUCUGCCCAGUCGUGGGGGAUAACGUAGGGAAACUUACGCUAAUACCGCAUACGACCUUCGGGUGAAAGAGGGGGAUCGCAAGACCUCUCGCGAUUGGAUGAGCCGAUGUCGGAUUAGCUAGUUGGCGGGGUAAUGGCCCACCAAGGCGACGAUCCGUAGCUGGUCUGAGAGGAUGAUCAGCCACACUGGAACUGAGACACGGUCCAGACGCCUACGGGAGGCAGCAGUGGGGAAUAUUGGACAAUGGGCGCAAGCCUGAUCCAGCCAUACCGCGUGGGUGAAGAAGGCCUUCGGGUUGUAAAGCCCUUUUGUUGGGAAAGAAAUCUUUCAGGCUAAUACCCUGGGAGGAUGACGGUACCCAAAGAAUAAGCACCGGCUAACUUCGUG